This 91-nucleotide transfer RNA is filed under the name Candidatus Bipolaricaulota bacterium. RNAcentral describes it as "tRNA-Ser". It matches the Rfam family "tRNA". From Rfam's summary of the family: Transfer RNA (tRNA) molecules are approximately 80 nucleotides in length. Lineage: Bacteria; Candidatus Bipolaricaulota. The record is from RNAcentral.
GGAGGGGUGGGUGAGCGGUCGAAGCCACCUGCCUGGAGAGCAGGUGCACCCCCCAAGGGUGCCGUGGGUUCGAAUCCCACCCCCUCCGCCA